CAGCAGCCGCGGGAAUACGAAGGGUGCAAGCGUUAAUCGGAAUUACUGGGCGUAAAGCGUGCGUAGGCGGUUUGUUAAGUCUGCUGUGAAAUCCCCGGGCUCAACCUGGGAACUGCAUUUGUGACUGGCAGGCUAGAGUAUGGCAGAGGGGGGUGGAAUUCCGCGUGUAGCAGUGAAAUGCGUAGAUAUGUGGAGGAAUACCGAUGGCGAAGGCAGCCCCCUGGGAUAACACUGACGCUCAUGCACGAAAGCGUGGGGAGCAAACAGGAUUAGAUACCCCCGUAGUCCCUGUCUCUUAUAC
Molecule: ribosomal RNA, 301 nt
Filed under: uncultured bacterium
Lineage: Bacteria
Description: partial 16S ribosomal RNA
Rfam family: Bacterial small subunit ribosomal RNA
Source: RNAcentral